RNAcentral lists this ribosomal RNA (192 nucleotides) under uncultured Enterobacter sp. Its description in RNAcentral is "partial 16S ribosomal RNA". It matches the Rfam family "Bacterial small subunit ribosomal RNA", at positions 339 to 523 of the family's 1533-position model. Lineage: Bacteria; Pseudomonadati; Pseudomonadota; Gammaproteobacteria; Enterobacterales; Enterobacteriaceae. The record is from RNAcentral.
CUAGGGGAGGCAGCAGUGGGGAAUAUUGCACAAUGGGCGCAAGCCUGAUGCAGCCAUGCCGCGUGUAUGAAGAAGGCCUUCGGGUUGUAAAGUACUUUCAGCGGGGAGGAAGGCGGUGAGGUUAAUAACCUCAUCGAUUGACGUUACCCGCAGAAGAAGCACCGGCUAACUCCGUGCCAGCAGCCGCGGUAA